AAAUGAAUUGACGGGGCCCCGCACAAGCGGCGGAGCAUGCGGAUUAAUUCGAUGCAACGCGAAGAACCUUACCUGGGUUUGACAUGGGCCGGAAACACCCAGAGAUGGGUGCCCCUUUAUGGUCGGUUCACAGGUGGUGCAUGGCUGUCGUCAGCUCGUGUCGUGAGAUGUUGGGUUAAGUCCCGCAACGAGCGCAACCCUCGUCCUAUGUUGCCAGCGGGUUAUGCCGGGAACUCAUGGGAGACCGCCGGGGUCAACUCGGAGGAAGGUGGGGAUGAGGUCAAGUCAUCAUGCCCCUUAUGUCCAGGGCUUCACGCAUGCUACAAUGGCUGGUACAAAGAGCUGCGAGCCUGUAAAGGUAAGCGAAUCUCAAAAAGCCAGUCUCAGUUCGGAUUGGGGUCUGCAACUCGACCCCAUGAAGUAGGAGUCGCUAGUAAUCGCAGAUCAGCAACGCUGCGGUGAAUACGUUCCCGGGGCUUGCACACACCGCCCGU
RNAcentral lists this ribosomal RNA (494 nucleotides) under uncultured bacterium. RNAcentral's name for it is "bacterial SSU rRNA". It matches the Rfam family "Bacterial small subunit ribosomal RNA", at positions 903 to 1397 of the family's 1533-position model. The record is from RNAcentral.